Molecule: long non-coding RNA, 463 nt
Filed under: Mus caroli (Ryukyu mouse)
Lineage: Eukaryota; Metazoa; Chordata; Mammalia; Rodentia; Muridae
Description: lncRNA (MGP_CAROLIEiJ_G0005692.1)
Source: RNAcentral
GCAGCAACAGCUGGACUGCUUCCAAGUGGAAGUGCUCACAGAACAACCAUUCGGCAGGCACCGGCUACACGGACUGAGAAGCUGAUAACUGAUCAGAGUCAAGCUGAGCCUAUCAACCCCUUUCCAUGUCCCCAGAGAUAAACAGGAGCAAACCUAAGAUAAAACACCACCGAGUGCACUUCCCUGGGACCAUUUCAAGAGCUUCAGACCUCUGGAAACACAUAUGUGAACCAGCAGGAUGGCCACAUCACCCAUAGGGCAGUAGAGGUAGAUGCCAAAUGCAGAGAAACUGAGUCAUAAAUGUCUGUAACUCUUCCUGUGGGUGUGAGGAACCUGUCUCUCAACCCAGCUUGAAUGGGAUUUGUUUCUGCAACUGGAAUAAUCUUAAAUCAUCCAUUCUGACACCAGAGACUCAGCACUUUCAGUUUCAGAAUUUCAUCAUGAUGGUGGGAAACAUGGCAGC